RNAcentral lists this ribosomal RNA (492 nucleotides) under uncultured bacterium. Its description in RNAcentral is "partial 16S ribosomal RNA". It matches the Rfam family "Bacterial small subunit ribosomal RNA", at positions 29 to 507 of the family's 1533-position model. The record is from RNAcentral.
AGUGAACGCUGGCGGUAGGCCUAACACAUGCAAGUCGAACGGCAGCACAGUAAGAGCUUGCUCUUACGGGUGGCGAGUGGCGGACGGGUGAGGAAUACAUCGGAAUCUACUUUUUCGUGGGGGAUAACGUAGGGAAACUUAUGCUAAUACCGCAUACGACCUACGGGUGAAAGCAGGGGAUCUUCGGACCUUGCGCGAUUGAAUGAGCCGAUGUCGGAUUAGCUAGUUGGCGGGGUAAAGGCCCACCAAGGCGACGAUCCGUAGCUGGUCUGAGAGGAUGAUCAGCCACACUGGAGCUGAGACACGGUCCAGACUCCUACGGGAGGCAGCAGUGGGGAAUAUUGGACAAUGGGCGCAAGCCUGAUCCAGCCAUACCGCGUGGGUGAAGAAGGCCUUCGGGUUGUAAAGCCCUUUUGUUGGGAAAGAAAAGCAGCAGGUUAAUACCCCGCUGUUCUGACGGUACCCAAAGAAUAAGCACCGGCUAACUUCGUG